This 2943-nucleotide long non-coding RNA is filed under the name Malus domestica (apple). RNAcentral's name for it is "long non-coding RNA (MDOM_LNC004454)". The record is from RNAcentral. Lineage: Eukaryota; Viridiplantae; Streptophyta; Magnoliopsida; Rosales; Rosaceae.
AUCCAUUUACAUACUUAUCCACACUAGUGACCGGAGCAAUCUAGCGAAGGUCACAAACUUCACACUUUCUGUUGUACCAAAGUCCUCACUGAUUUUGUGCAUCAAGGCACAAAUACUUAACUGUAUGGUAUAAACAAAUCGCAAUGGCAUGAAUCAUAUACAUAUACAAAUAUUUUUUAAACCCUAAAACUAACGAGUCAUUUAUUUUCUAAACCCUAAAACUAAGGAGUCAAGCAUAUAAAAAAUACCUAAAAUAUCUAAAUAGAAAAAAAAAUUAUAUAUAUAUAUUGCCAUCUCUGAACUUGUUGAUUUCAUUGAGCUUCCUUCUUAUCGUGGCACUCAAUUGGAAGAAUCUCGUAUUUUUAUCUCCAUGUUUUGACCAAUUUGCUAUGGCUUUUUGAGCCCACAUUACUUCCACCUCCUUAAGCACUUGAGUGAGUCUCUCAUUAAUUUGAGCCUCUAAAUGAACUUUAUCAUGGAAAUUAUCUACAGUGUUGGAAUUGUAAUUGAGAGACAUAAUUUUCUUCUGAACUCAGUCCAGUUCGUUUAGAAUUUUAUCUUUCUUUUCUUUGACAAACCCAAAAAUCGUUCGAUUCCAAUUUUUGACAAGAUAAGAGAAAGUACUUAAGCGGCCCCUAAAAUGAUCAAAAGGAGAAAGUCCUCACUGCAAGUCCAUGCACCCCUAACAAAAUGUUUGAAGUUAGGAUGAAGGUUCCACAUGGCUUCAAAUUUAAAAGCUUUCCUCUGUUGACUAACUUGACGACCUGCAAUAUCCAGGUAUAAAGGACUAUGGUUUGAAUCUAGAAUAGAAUAAUUGUAGAGAGAGUAGUUUGGGUGCAAUUCAAGCCAAAAAAAAUUAGCAACAACCCUGUCUAAUCUCUCAAAGAUAAGAGUGUCAUCCUAAUGUUUGUUUGUCCAAGUAAAAGGGACACCAAAGGCUUGUUAAGAAAUCAGACUAGCAUUAUUCAAGAAAUUCACAAAAUUAGUCAUAUAAAUACUAACACUUUGAUUCCCACCCCAUUUUUCCUGUAGGCAAGAAAUGUUAUUAAAAUCACCAAGCAACAUCUAGGGUUUAUCAAUAGGAUUUAGGGUUAAUAACUCCUCCCACAUAUUUUCUUGGAGAGAUUUUUGAGGAUAGGCAUAUACAAAAGUAGCAAAGUACUCAAUAUUUGAGCGCACAUCCUUAACUAAGGCAUGAAUGUAUCUAGAAGAAGCAGCAAUCACAUUUAAAUUGAUAAGACCAUAAUUCCAACAAAUAUAAAUACCCCCAGACCUCCCCUUGUGGUUAAAACCCAAAAACUGAUAGAAAAAAACCUCCUAAAGCAACCAACAAGGGCCUUGUCCACAACAUUCUUAGUUUCAAUAAAACAAAAGAAAUCUAGUUUAACCAAGCUACUAAGAUAACUAAAAUUACUAGGGGUGGGAAAUUUUGCCAUAAACCGAUUUACCGACCAAACCAUACCGGUUGGCUCAUAAUGGUAUGGUAUGGUUUUAGCAUUUUUUCAUAAUCGGUUGGCAUUUUACCGAACUGACAACUAAUGGCAUGGCUUUGAUAAUUGAUUUUGUAUGCCGGCAGUAUGCCAUACCUACCAAUAUAUAUAUAUAUAUAUAUAUAUAUAUAUUUUUUUUUUCUAUUUAGAUAUUUUAGGUAUUUUUUACAUGCUUGACUCCUCAGUUUUAGGGUUUAGAAAAUAAAUGACUCCUUAGUUUUAGGGUUUAAAAAAUAUUUGUAUAUGUAUAUGAUUCAUGCCAUAAUAAAUAUAGAAAAUAUUGUUAACAAAAUUGAUAACAUGAUGAUUACUUAUACUAUAUAUACAUGUACAUAUAUAUGAUUUUGAAUGUAUAUGCGUUGCUUAUGUUUAGGAUGAUGGAGUCUAGCCAAUCAACCGCUAGUGCACAACAUGGAUUAACCCAAAAUGAACCACACAAUGCAACUAAACAAGCACCCCAAUCUGAAAAUCAAAUUGAGCCCUUGGAACUGGAAGAUAGCAAGGAAGAAGUGGAAAGCAUCGGUUGUGCAUUUACCAACCGAAUCAGCCAAUAAUUUUGGCUGAACCAAUUUUUGACAAUCGCAAGAAGACGGUUGGCUAACGGUAACUGAUUUUUGGUAAUUAUGUAUGUUUAUAACAUACUUAGGGCCUCCGUAUUUAGAUCUUAUACAAAUACUCGGGGGACUUAAAUGUAAUUAUGUAAUAAAUGAAGGGGCAAAUAUGUAAUAAAUGAGGAGCUCUUAUUCUAUAAAAGGACUCCUCACCCUCACAAUUGAGGAAGCCAAUUCCUAGGCCCUCUUACCCUCAGAAGUCUCCUCAUAUCCCCUAAGCUCUAAGCUCUCUUAAAGCUCUCACUCUCAUUCAGAGCUCUCUCUCCCUCAUAAUACUCUCAGAGAAAUACAAUAUUAGUGUGGACGUAGCCCAAACCUUGGGGUGAACCACGAUACAUCUUGUGUUAUUUACAUUUCUUGCAGAUUCACGGUCAGAUUUAGGGUUUCCAUAUUUAGAUCUCGUACAAAUACUUGGAGGACUUAAAUGUAAUUAUGUAAUAAAGGAAAUGGCAAAUAUGUAAUAAGUGAGGAGUCUUUAUUCUAUAAAAGGACUCCUUACCUUCAUAAUUGAGGAGGGCAAUUCUUAGGCCCUCUCACCCUCAGAAGUCUCGUCACAUCCCCUAAGCUCUAAGCUCUCUCUAAGCUCUCACUCUCAUUCAGAGCUUUCUCUCCCUCACAAUACUCUCAGAGAAACACAAUAUCAGUGUGGACGUAGCCCAAACCUUAGGGUGAACCACGAUACAUCUUGUGUUAUUUACAUUUCUUGCAGAUUCACGAUCAGAUUUAGGGCCUCUGUAUUUAGAUCUCGUACAAAUACUCGGGGGACUUAAAUGUAAUUAUGUAAUAAAGGAAGGGGCAAAUAUGUAAUAAGCAAGGAAGAAAAUAUCGGUAAUAUCAAAAAU